Long non-coding RNA from Pomacea canaliculata, 6792 nucleotides. RefSeq lists it as uncharacterized. Lineage: Eukaryota; Metazoa; Mollusca; Gastropoda; Architaenioglossa; Ampullariidae. The record is from RefSeq and is a predicted model, not a curated record. The transcript is spliced from 3 exons.
AACUUAAUCAGAGACCAUGUCCAAACCGUGACUAGAUCGCACCUUCCACAGGUGUGAGUAGAACCACCCUGACGACGAGCGACACAGACAGUCGCGGCACUUCAGCGACAGAGACCAAAGGUUCGAGCACGAUGUCCUCCAGUAGUCAUUCCAAUCUAGUCAUAGGCUUAGGCCAUGACGACGCCCUGGUCCGAUCACUUGAUGACUAGAUCGCACCCGGAGACAAAACGAAAGUACAUACUGCUACACCUGAAGAAAACUCGUCCACCUCAACGACAACAGCCAGAUGUUUGAACUUGAAGUCUUCCUGGAGACGACACCUUUGCUUCCUUGCAGUUGAUCAUCGCAGACCUCUGUACAUGAUGCAAUGACUCAUGACCCAAGCACUGCUCGGACACUGUUGUCAAAGAGUUAUCAGAGAAAGGUAAGUCUGAGUCUUCAGUAAAGACAUGCCUUAUUUGCUUGUACUACUGUUGACAAUGACGGAAAAUGAGAGGAAGGUGAGGGGAAUGAUGAUUCCUAAACACUACUGUCAUCGGUUUUCUCCUUUGUUGCAACUAAUAGCAGUCCAGUAUGCCAUAGAUAUUUGAGCGGGUUAAGGCAGUUAUUAAUGUUUCAUGCCAGACCCUGUCUGAGUUUUUCUCUUUUAUGUUUUCACUACACUUCAACACCACAUGUGAGUAGCUGCCUGUCACCACAUGUCCGCGUAGGAGGGUCUUUAAUCUUUUCUGUGGGUGAGAUAGCAAUGUUUAGAUUGGUGACUAGGAUUGAUAUUUUGUUUUACUGAAAGUCGAGUUGGUUUAUCGGUCUCUUCAUAUGCUAUGUCAAUUCUGUUUGAUGAUUUAUUUUUUAAAGCCUGACAGCAAGUGCUGACAGCAAGUCUGAAAUUACAAGGUAUUGUUGUUAUGAUAUGUCCUUUACUUUGGGUUGUGGUGUCUGAAGAGCUGCCUGUAUGGCAGUCAGCUCCGCUUGUGUCUCUGGCUCAUGAGAUCCAUCCACGUAUAUCUAUAUACAGAUAGUACUUAGUUUUGUUUCUGAAAAGAAUUUGGUUCGGAUGUUUUUCUUAAUUGUAUUUAGCAAGGUCAGGGUCUACCUAAAGAACGAUACAUGAACAGCAUACAAUGGACAGGAAAACAUGAAACAACACAUGAACUAAGAAAGAAUAAACAACAGUAGAAAUGAUGAAUGAAAAUAAGUACAGAAAACGCAGAGAGGAACCAAAUAACAAGAACUGAUAGUAUCAUGAUAAAGACGAGCUGGGAAGGGUGUAAAAAGGACUAGCAUGGUUUUUUCUUUAUCUUGGGUGUGUUCCUGUUUCUGGGACUGUGUGAAUCUGUGAGACUGAGUGUCCUGGUAAGAGAGACCAUUCAUCUCGUAAUAGUAGUUGGCUGUCCUUUCCCUAAUUAUCAGCUCUACAGACUUCUGUCCUAGUUCUGCCAUCACUGACGAUUAUAACAAUGAUGGGCAAACCGUCCCAAUUUAAGAUGUAUAAGGAGGUAAAAAGUACAGACAAGUUAACAAGCUAUAUCCCUUGAAAUAUCAACAGCAUCAGGUGCUAUAAAAAUAAAAAGUUAAAAAGAAAAGGAUACUUUUAUAAUGUGUGCCCUUUGAAUCUUAAAACUAAAAGUAUAACACACUUCAGUCUAUUUUUAUCAUAAUGUUUCUAGCACAUAAUUUUUUUUGUUUAUUAUCAUAUCAUUGGGACUAAACAUUCCACGAUGUCUUACCCAGCAUUUUAACCUGUACUAAUAAUCAUUUGACUUUUUAGCAUAUGAAAUAUGAUUUUAUUACAGCUUGCUAGCUGAGAGUAAAUUAAAUCUUUAUAUUUCAUCUCUUCAAAGGUUAAUCAAUAAAGAAAAAGAAGCAGACAGACAAUUAGAGUAACAUAAUAGAGGGAUUAUGGAGAAUCUUAUCAUGGCUUCUGCUAAGACUAAAUUCUUUGGGGUCCUAGGGACCCCUUCUUCAGAUUUUUAAUGGGUCCCUGUUCUUCGCCCAACUUUGAAUGGGACCCCAUUGACAAAAAUUGAAGGGGUCCUCCGAACUUUUAAUGCGUACUGUACGCAAUUUUUGCGUAAGAAGAAGCCCUGCUUAUAAACUGAAAAACAUGCAUACAAGUUAUUAAGCAGUUUCAAAAUGUUAAUGUAAGUGUGGAAGAAGUUUUGAAAUACAGUGAAUUUUUAUUUUGUAUGCUCACUUAAUGAGAGCAUUUUACUUAGUUUCUUGAAAGGUUACACAAAGUUAAAGUAUACUUAUUAAUUAUUCCUAACGACAAGAUACUAAUCUUAUCAUCCCCUUUCAUGACUCCAAGGCUUUGUGAACUAAUAAAAUAUGUAGCAGAAUUAAAGGUGUGGAUCUUCUUAACCUAAGCAGCGGUCUUAGCUGCAUGCAGUAGGUGUAAGACACCUUUAUAAUCCCCUACCUGGGAGCUUCCAAGGUCUGCUCUUGCUGUCUGCACCUUUGAUAACUAGUUUUUUGCAUCUAAUACAUACCCACUUUCAGAAACUAAAGCCCUAUAGGCAGUGCUAAAACAAGCUAGGCACAAACUGUCACAGACUUAAAUAACCAGAUAUAGUUUAGAGAUAAAUAACUUGUGACAGAGGGUUUCAUGGGUCUGUUUCCACAGGUCCAAGGUUAAACAAACUUGGAAACACCUGUUUACCUCUAAUCCAUUAUGACUGAAGUAUCAACUUAAAUAUAUAUAUAUAUAUACAAAUUGAAUGAACCUGCUAUUUUAGUCAUCAAUGUGACUUUGAUGUUUUUUCCACUUUAUUUCUGGCUGGCUGUGGUUGGCUGGGUCCCUCCGUGCCUCUCUUUCACUCUCUCUCUCGCUAUAUAUAAUGUACACAUUUUCUGGGAAGUCAGCUGCUGAAAAUUCUGGUGUACCUUGGCUAAAACUAGCAGAAUGCUAAUUAGAAUGCUCAGCUUAGUAAGAUCUUUACACAUUAUUUUAACACUGCUUACCUGUCAUACUUAUGCACACAAUAUAAGUAGUAUAUCAUAAACAUCAUUUAAUGAUGGCAUUUAUUUACUGGUUUCAGAUUUACUUGGCUGUUAUUAAAUAACUGAGACUGUUUAUACCGAAAAAAAGCCACAUGCAAGAAUUUAUCAGAAUGAAAAACAAAAGUAGGAACAAAAUUCAAUUAUUAGUUAUGAUACAUCUAUGAAAUAAAACUUAAAAAGAUAAAAAUAAUUAUUUCGUAGCAUAUCUAUAUAUAAAUAAAAAAAUCUCAUUUCACAAAACUACUUGAAAACAUGCAUUGUACUUAAUCAUGAAAGGGCUUUAUUAUUAGUCAGUGAAUGCUUAUUUGGAUUUGCAAAUGAAAAAAAAAUAUCAAUCGUCUAACAGAAAGUGCAUCGAUCAUGUCUUGUCUCAAAAAGAUAAUGUUUCUCUCUGAUAAAUAUAUCUAUUCAUAAAUAUAUCUAUAUAUAGAGAAGGGGGUUAAAGGCAGCAAACUAAGUUAUUAUGUUUUGAAGUCCCCUUAGAGUAAAGCAAUCCGAGCAAAGCAAUAUGCAAUGUGUUGCACAAUUUAAAGAACUUUGAACAUGCUGAAGAUUUCAAGGACAACAUCCAAUGUGAUAUUACUGCUACUAUCUCAACAUGAAAGUCGAUACAUUAAGAAACAUGAAUCUGCAUUGAAAUAUGUCAGGCAGAAAAACGGAAUUGACCUACAUAGAUGUAUGAAGCUUUUUUUCUUUUUGGAUCAGAAUUGCUUUAAGUAGCAAAUUAAUAUUUAGGGUCUCUUUUAAGUGAGUCCUCCUGUGUCAUAUAUAUGUACACAUUACAGACACAUCCAGACAAAUUAUCAACAAUAACAUUGCAUGUUUAAAGCAUGUAACAUAAUGUCUUUGCAAUUCUAUACCUUUUCUUCUUCUUCUGUCCUAUUCGCCCCCAGUGGAGCAUAGGGCCGCAACCACCCGCCGCCAUCGGACCCGGUCCUGGGCGUCCCUUUCUAGUUGGGACCAUGUCAUGCCAGCUGUCUCCGCCUCUCUAAUUAUUUUAUGUAGCACUCCAAUUUCAUGCCAUUUCAACUUGAUAGCUGACAUUUGCUGCGUUUUUUGAAGAUAAUGCGCUAAACAACAUUUCUAUUUAAUCUUAAACGUUUUGUAAGAGUAAUAAUUUCACAACCUGGUUGCCUUUAUCAAUGAGUGAUCAUACAAUAUUACUAUAGGAAAUUUUUAGAUUAUGGUAGCCCCAGCUGGUAUUUGAUUUUAGAACUCACAGUUGUUAACGUACACUUAAUUACAUUACAGCAUCCCAUCAAAGCUCGGACUCUCUAGGCCAGUGGUUCUUAACCUUGUUUGAGGUACCGAACCCACAAGUUUCAUAUGCACAUUCACCGAACCCUUCUUUAGUGUCAUCACGAAUUGCGGGUGUGUCUUGACCUCCGUGGCGGAGGCUCCGCCGAACCCCUGAGACCGACUCACCGAACCCCUAGGGUUCAAUAGAACCCCGGUUAAGAACCACUGACUGACCAUGAUUAAAAAUGCAUACAGUUUUUUCAGUGGUUAUUACCUAAUAUCUAAUGCGAUGUAUUAAAAGACCGCAAAUUUAAAGGACAGAAUAUACAAGCAAAAGUAUUAAUAUCAAGAUCUAUUAGUGUCUAUGAAAUACAAAUGACAAAUUUAGUUUAGUUUAUUCCUCCCAGUUAGUCUUCGAGGUGCAUGGGGCCAUACCAAAAAAGCAAAUGACAAAUCAUAUGAAUAUUACCUUGUAGAUGAUCUUAGUAAACAGAGCAGGAUAUGUUCGCCUGAUUCUCAAAGUAACUUUUGAAGACUCCUGAAAGCUGUUCUUCCACUUUUGCACAUCAUCUUUGGAAAACAGGUUAAUUCUUACAGUACCUAAAAAUGAUUAUUAGCAUCACUGGUCACACAAAACUUGUAGAUAAGGUGCUGAUAUCCUUCAGGUAAUAAAUCUUAAGACAAUAUAAAAAACAAAUCAGAAGCAUUUAUGGAUAUUAUUAGGAGAAAGUCAUAAUGGUAAUUCCAGCAAUAGCACACACUUUUAUAAAAUUGCCUGAGCACCCUUCUCGCUUUCUAGACAUAUACUGCAUUAGAUUUUAUUUAUCUCUAUAUAUACUGCAAUAAUUAUAUGUACACCGCAAUUAUAUAUUCUGAAAACACAUAUCUGGUUACUAAGUACUAUCCCUGAAUUUCUAGAAUUCUAAACUGCCUGGCAAUACUGUCUGUCAUGCUAACAAUCAUGUAACGACUCCAUCUUACACUGUUUAUCGUAUCUAUAUUCCUUCAUCCAUUACUUUACGUUCUACUGCUGCACUUCAUCUUUAUGUUAAUUGUUCAUUGUGCCUAUAUAAGUACCUCAGUGUCCACUGGCUGUUAUCUUUCAUUUAUCAUUAUUAGUCUGCGCAGAGAGUUCGAUGCAUCGUGGUCGUGAUGCUGUCAGUUGUAACUUCACAUUAUUAUUAUUAUUAUUAAUUUAUUUAAAAGCACUUUCAAAGGCUACCUCAAACUGAUCUCCGUGCAAAAAAUAUAAAAAGAACGGCAUGUCCCAGGCUCUAAUUAGUAAUUUAGGAAUAAAAUUCACAAACCAGUAGCUUUGACAAUGAUUCAGUAUCCUGCUCACGCAGUAGAAAUUUCCGUCGGCAUUUCGAGUUUCCUUGGUGAUAGCAAUGAUAAUCGUCGGUCUACAGCUACAAAUUAAGGUUUUCCGCCGUUAACUUUGCACUGACCUUUUAGGGCAUGUGUUUCGUGCACUCUGAUUGGCUGAAAUUCCUCCGACGCUAUUGAGUGUGGUGGAAAAAAGAUUCCGCCUCCUGGACCUGAUAGACUGAUAGGGGAAUAUUUUAAACACUCACUACAUAAAACUACACCCUUUGUAAUGUUCUAUUUUAAUUUUCUCUUUGAGAAGCAAGGUGAAAUAUGCAGUCAUGUAUUGUUCUCACUAUGUAUUAAUGAGCUUACAAACAAAAUCUUCGCAAAGGGUCUAUACGGUAUUCAGCUUAGUUCAGAGUUAAUCCAGUUAUUUGUCCUUUAAUUUGCAGACAACAUUGCUUUAUUUUCUGAUACAGUGAUAAGCUUACAAAACCAGUUAUAUAUUCUAUAUACAACAGCAAAACACUUGGACAUAGUUAUAAAUAUGAAGAAAUAUAAUGUGGUUAUAUUCAGGAACGAGGGUCAUGUUGGUAUUAGAAUGGUGUUAAACUAGAAAUAGGUAAUAGUUUUAAAUAUCCAGGAAUAAUUCUGUUAACAGGCUUUGUUUUCUCAUCCCUUAAAUGAUUUAGCAGUAAAGUCAUGGUUAGGAGUUAUUGGAAUUCUACAAGUUCUUUGACGCCUUGAAGAUUGUAAACUCUUUUUUUCUUUUUCAAACUAUUCGAUACACAAAUUCAACCCAUUUUUCUGUAUGGUUCUGAGGUAUGGGGUCUGUAUUAUGACAACAAUAUUAUUGAGACCAUUUAUUUUGAAUGAAACGUUCUUAAACGUGACAGCAAGAACUCCAAAUUGAAUGAUUUAUUAUGUCAGAUGUAAAGGUUGAAAUUUGCCCCCUAGCAGACUUUCAAAAAAGUGUCAGGUAUGUUGCUGAAAUAUGCACAGUAAUAACAAGCUCACUUGGGGUAACAACAUUAUGGUAGCACUUCAUCAAUAUGGGUUUGGAUUUGUUUGGUAAUGUCAGGGGUGGGCAAUGUUAAGCAGCUCUUAAGAGAAUUCAAGCUGAGACUUAAAGACUGUUUUCACCAAAACUGGCAUAGUAAAUAUCUAGCAGUGAUCGAUUUUCAGUCUACAACUCAUUUCAGUCUUCUUUAGUACUAAGUACCUACCUAACUGACAUUAAACAUA